RNAcentral lists this ribosomal RNA (305 nucleotides) under uncultured bacterium. RNAcentral describes it as "bacterial SSU rRNA". It matches the Rfam family "Bacterial small subunit ribosomal RNA", at positions 337 to 658 of the family's 1533-position model. The record is from RNAcentral.
UCCUACGGGGGGCAGCAGUGGGGAAUAUUGCACAAUGGGGGAAACCCUGAUGCAGCGACGCCGCGUGAAGGAAGAAGUAUUUCGGUAUGUAAACUUCUAUCAGCAGGGAAGAAAGUGACGGUACCCAAGGAAUAAGCCCCGGCUAACUACGUGCCAGCAGCCGCGGUAAUACGUAGGGGGCAAGCGUUGUUCGGAAUGACUGGGCGUAAAGGGUGCGUAGGCGGUGUAGCAAGUUAGAAGUGAAAUACCUAGAGCUUAACUCAGGUGCUGCUUCUAAAACUGCUAUACUUGAGUGCAGUAGAGGA